This 234-nucleotide ribosomal RNA is filed under the name uncultured bacterium. RNAcentral describes it as "partial 16S ribosomal RNA". It matches the Rfam family "Bacterial small subunit ribosomal RNA", at positions 118 to 351 of the family's 1533-position model. The record is from RNAcentral.
UGAGUAACCUGCCCUUAACUCUGGGAUAAGCCUGGGAAACUGGGUCUAAUACCGGAUAUGACUCCUCAUCGCAUGGUGGGGGGUGGAAAGCUUUAUUGUGGUUUUGGAUGGACUCGCGGCCUAUCAGCUAGUUGGUGAGGUAAUGGCUCACCAAGGCGACGACGGGUAGUUGGUCUGAGAGGAUGGCCAGCCACAUUGGGACUGUGACACGGCCCAGACUCCUACGGGAGGNAG